GCCCAGGUGGUGAAAUUGGUAGACACGCUACUUUGAGGGGGUAGUGCCGCAAGGUGUGCUGGUUCGAAUCCAGUUCUGGGCA
Molecule: transfer RNA, 82 nt
Filed under: Rhodocyclaceae bacterium
Lineage: Bacteria; Pseudomonadati; Pseudomonadota; Betaproteobacteria; Rhodocyclales; Rhodocyclaceae
Also listed under: 3 other names
Description: tRNA-Leu
Rfam family: tRNA
About the family: Transfer RNA (tRNA) molecules are approximately 80 nucleotides in length.
Source: RNAcentral